RNAcentral lists this unclassified non-coding RNA (4204 nucleotides) under Leishmania donovani. RNAcentral's name for it is "gene:LdHU3.07.0400(CDS-product:hypothetical_prote in_conserved)". The record is from RNAcentral. Lineage: Eukaryota; Euglenozoa; Kinetoplastea; Trypanosomatida; Trypanosomatidae.
UGAGCUUGCGCGUCUCUCGUAGGCCGUCUCUUUCCUUCCCUCCUCCCCCGGUUUUCCAUGGCCCCCACACCAUGACGUCGCCCAUCCCGCGCAAGAACGGUCACUGGGGCCACCUAGCCGCCGGCGCGGUGCCGACGGCUGUGCAGAAGGCCUUGAUGCAAGAGCGCGGCUCUUUGGCUUCCGCAAGCAUGGGGAUGGCGGCGGCGCGGCGAUCUGCGACGAGCUCUGUGCUGUGCCCCACCACUUCUGACGACGCAGACGACCACAAUGGCGGGUCCCUCACGUCCACGUCUCAGGUGCACCGGCGCUCGUCACGGUCUCUAAACCAUCAACAUUCCGCACUGCAGCAGCAGCCCGCACACGUGCCGUCAGACAAGAACAGUACCACCGGGGACAUGCGGCGAGAGUGGAAGUUUGCUCUGCAGUUUGUGCAUCAGGCAGGCCAGCUCCUCAUCCAGUGCUCCCCGCAGUGGGAGUACGAGUUCAUCGACCUGGACAGGACGGCGGUCGGGCUCGCGCAGCGCGAGAGGCUACCGACGCAAGCGGAAUUGUCGCCGAUGUUCGCAGUGCUUUCCUACACGGAUCGAGCGGCGGUGGUGCAGUCGCCGCCGCAGCCUGUCACCGCGGCAGGGGGCUCACCAGGCGCCGGCGUCUCGUUGCGUCAGCCAAGCAUGAGUAGAGGCAGCCUCAGCGCGAGCCCUGCCACAGCGAACAUCGGCUACCAGCACGCAGAGCAGCACUCUUUCACGAGCUCGAGCGACGUCGGCAAGCGGGCAGAGACGGCGCCAACAGUCGCGGACGACCGCGUCGACGGGGACGCGUGGUGGGUGGAGAAGUCGAAGGCGGUGGAGCUCUUCUACUGCCUCCCCGCUCCCGGCAUGGACCUCAAGGGGUUCUGCAAGCAUUGCGUGCAGUUUGUCUUGCGUGACCCCCACGUCGCGAGCAUCGACGGCGACACGCGGCUGGCGCGGCUGCACAUUGGCGACAAGCUUCGCUGCACCUACCAGCUGGGCGGCCGCCACCGCUCCUUCCAGCUGCGCUACACCCUGCACGAUCGCUCCGAGUUGCAGGAGAGCCACGUGUACGCCAUCGGCACCAUUGUCGGGCAGCGCGGCUACUUGCUACGCGCGCGGUGCACGGACGCCGAGGAGUUGGAGGGGUACGUGCGGAAGGUUCUUCUACCGGUGUACGCGUCGCCGGGACGGGUACAGUUCGGUGUCGACGUUACCUAUCACAACGUUGGCCCGACGACGCCGCUCAGCGAGCAGCAGGAGGCUUUCGGCCAGCUGCAGUACGUCGACCACAAGGCAGCCAUCGUCUUUGUCACUCCGUUGUACCCGAUGCGGGUGCUGCCCGACUACUCACCGGCGAAGACGGUCGGCGUGGGAUCCAUCACCUGCCUCACCCUGAAGCUCAGCGUGUACGAGCGGCUGCUGGACGACAUUGCCGCGGCGGAGAUUACUGGGGUCGCCAAGUACAAGGUCAGCCCCAUCAUUGUGUGUGUCGAAGUCGAGGAGGUGUCGCGCAUGGGAUACCCGAAGGUGAUGUCGACCGAGCAGUACAGCGAGCUCAAGGCGGCCCGCGUCGCGGAGGUGUUCCCGGAUGCGAAAAUGGUGGGCCUUCCAUCAAACUUGUUCAUGGGCAGCCGCACAGGGCGCUUGCGUACCAUGACGUUUACCUACGAGCCCCUCGGCUGCGUCGUCAAGUCGCUCAUCGCCUCAACCCUCGUCGGCAACCUGGGUGUGACGGCACUCUACAUCGCGAAGCUCAGCGGUGGUGUCUUCGAUGCCCACCUCUACGUGUUUCAGCAGCUUGUGCAUGGGAUGGAGUACCUGCCGCAGAACAACUUCGAGAAGAGCGCGCGUGUCAGUCGCUACCGUGCGCGAAACAUUCGCCUCAUGGAGGAGGACGUCAUACACGCAUACAGCGACGACAAGCAGCUCGGCGACGCGGUCCCGCAGCCGGUGCAGUGCGCCACACCAGGCUCGCCGUCGUCGCUGUCGACCGCCGCUGCCACGCCGCACCCGACGAUGCUCGCCGCCAGGGAUCCUCGCAUCGUGGCCGCGACGCGCGAGCGUCACCUUCACUUUCUGUCGCUCGGCAAUGACGGCCGCGUCGAAGGCGGCGUCGAAGCGGUGGUGUCGCCAGAGGAAGGAGGCAUUGCGCCUACUCGUCGCUCCGUGUCUGCCGCCAACAUCAACGAAGGCGGCCUGCACGCGCACGGCGGACACCGCGGGGGAUCCGAGGCGGACGGCGCAAGCGCCUUCGGCACUGAAGCCGCCCGAACAUCACUGAUUUCGGCCUCCCUGUUCACGGCGUCGCUGACCAGCGACGCGCUUGUGACGGCUACGCUACCGGCGUCGGCGCUCACCCCCGCCGAUAAUGCUUUCAGCGCACCAGGCGGCGGCAUGCGUGACACGCUGCAUGCCGAUUUCUUUUCGUCCGCGAACAGCAGCUCCCGCAUCAGCGUGACCAACAUCUCCCACCUGCGGGAGAGUGGCUCGGCCAGCCUGGCGGGCGACCACAGCGACGCCGACGACGCCAUGAGCGGGUUUAUGGAGGACGGUCACGACGCCUUUGCGUGUAGCCACGAGGAGGCGUAUGCCUGUACGGCUCCGCUUGACGCCGCUCCUCUCGCAUCCGCCUCUGUGGGCCCAUCUGCGGCGUCGCUUGCCGGUAGCCAUCCGCCCGCCUCCGUCGCCUCCGAGAGUGGUGACGGCAUCGAGGCGCGUACGGCGAUUUAUCGUCGGAGAGGCAGUGGCAGCAUACUCGUGGCAAGCUACAUCUCCAGCGCCGCGGCAGACGCUGGCGCCGGAGAGGUGCUGAAAACCCAGGUUGUCUGCUCCGCCUCAGCUCUGCCCACUAGCGAACUGCCCGACAUCAGCGGCGACGGCGACGCGGUGGGUCGCAGCCCGGAUGCAGCAGCGAGGCUGGGUACUACUACGUGCCCUUCUGUGGUCGACAACGAUGACACGGCCGCUGCCGAGCAGCUGAAGCAGCGGCAGCUCUACGAGCAGCUGGUUGGCAAGGGCGACCCUGCCGUUCAGCAGGCCCUGCGCGAGGCAGAGGGCGGCACCCUCUACGGUCCCUCUCUUCGCGAUGUCUACGCCCGCUGCUGUGAGGCGCAGCAGUGCCGCCCGAACAGCUACUUGAUGCGCAAGCUCCCGGUGCAGCCGGAGUUCACAUACUCCGUCGAGGAGAUCGACCUCAGCGCCAACUACGUCGGCCACAAUGGCUUUGUCGCCGUACUGCACCUCCUUGAGCACCUGCCUCGUCUCCGCGUCGUGUACUUCAACAACAUGUCCCUGGAUAACACGGACGCGGAGAGCCUUUGCUACGCGCUAGCCACGAACCACACGGUGCGUGAGGUGCACCUGGAGAACAACCCCGGCAUCUCUCUGCCUUCCAUGCGGCACUUCACCGCCCUCCUGCGCGUGAACAGGCGCGUUGGAGUCCUGAUGUUGGCAGGGACGCGCCUGAGCCCGACGCUGAUCGCGAAGCUGCAAGAGGAGGCGAGCCAGCGGCGGGAUUGACCCAUGCUAGGCUCGCGUCAGGUGUGCAUUCAGGUUGUGGGCACUGUUGUACAAGGGAGAGGGGUGCCACCUGCAGGGCGUCGGUUUCCGUGUGUGUGUCCUUCUUUCUGACGCUCUCUCUCUCUAGCUAGCUGGACGCCCACCACCGCCACCACCGCUUUCUCGAACGCCUUCGCCUUCUCAGCCUCCCUCCAUCCUUGGCGCGUUACUGUUGCCGCACAUGUGCGAGGCACUGACGAUGGCGGCGACUGCGGAUGCAGAGAGAGCUGGAGUAAGGAAGGCGAAGGCGUGCGUGCCUGCUCACGCACGCUCAUACAUGUGAUGUACCAUAACCGGGUGACAGCUUCCUUUCGCCUGUCUACUUGUCUGCGCGUGCGCGCGCGCGUGCGUGCAUACGCUUGCUGAUGUCACUGUCGCGGCAUACGCACGUAUUGCAUGCACGCGUUGGGGGGGGGAGGGAGUUUUGGGGUGUGGGUGGCCUCGUACUCUCACUCCUUCUUUUUCCUUGUGUGCCCCACCCCUCGUCUUCCCGUAGCCUCUUUUCAUCUUGCAUGUAUGUUAGACGCUAUCACUCUCCUUCCUCUCUUAUGUGACAGAACCGCAUCAUCAUCGUUGUCGUCGUCGUGGCGAUCUCGUGUAUGUGAGGGCUUCUACAUGCGCAACGGCAGCAG